Long non-coding RNA from Pan troglodytes (chimpanzee), 1449 nucleotides. RefSeq lists it as uncharacterized. The record is from RefSeq and is a predicted model, not a curated record. The transcript is spliced from 2 exons. NCBI's taxonomy places the organism in Eukaryota, Metazoa, Chordata, Mammalia, Primates, Hominidae.
AUGAAGAGGUUGGACAAUCCCAGCACUGGGGCAGGUGUGGGGUGAAAAGUCCUCUUGUUUGCUGCAGUCCUUCUAGAGCACCACCUGGCCACCGAUAAACAACCUACAUAUCCUUUGUGUCAGCAACAGCACUGAGUAUCAUCAAGUAAGAAGGGUGUGAAUGAUUUCCCAGAACACAGCAGGCACUGAAGUAUUCACUCAAAUAUUUAUCAAGCACCUAAAACAUACAUGGCACCGGUACCAUGGGUGCUGCAAAGAUGAGGAAGAUCUUCUCCACCCUCGAGAACCAGCUAAUCUAUUGAGGGCAACAGAAAAGUACACAUUUAGAUAUAAGACAUGGUGAACAUUAAAAAGGCACAAAAACUGCUAUUAACAACAGAGGACCCCAAAAAAGGAAGAGCCAUCUGAUUUUGAGGGAUUGAGGAAGGCUUUGCAGAAGAUUUGGCAUGUGAAACUGGCCUUGCGGUGCAGAAGAAGGAAGGAGGUGUUGGAUUUCAGGAACUCCUGAGAGUGGAAUGGUAAACAAACAGGCACCAUCCCUGCCUCUUAGAGUCUACAGACUGGCAAGGGCAUUAAACAAGUAUGAUGAGAAGACAAAGUUCAGGGAGCUAGGAGAAUAUCAUAAAGGCAAUUAUCAAAAAAUACAACAAAGCCCAGUGUUGAUGAGGAUGCAGGGAACUGAAACUCAAAUAUAGCACUGGUAGAAGGAUAAGUUGGCAUAAUCACUUUGAAAAGCGACUGACUACCUCUCACACAGGGACUUGUACAUCCAGAGACAAUGAAGUGCUCUAGGGGCCAUUGGCAGGGAAAAUAUUCUAGGUAUCCGUGAUGAAGAAAUCCAUGUACCAAACAGCUAUAAUGAAGGCUUAUGAAAGGAAAUAAGGCCAAGUCUUCAAAUGAGGGCUGGAAACAGUUAAAAACAUGAAGCUCAGCUUUAUCUGAUAACUUUACAUAAAUAAAAUAAGGAAGGAACUUCAAAAGGGAGAGAAGAUGUGGCUGGGCAUGGUUGCCAUAGUAGCAAAAACAUGCUUUUGCCUUUUUGUCAGUUCUUUCAAUAUUAUACUGGAGGGCAGUGGGGAGAGGCUCUACAGACUAGAGCUGGAGCCUAGGGGAAGAGCCAAGCGGGGACUAAGUUGUUUGAUCCUGAGAAGAAAAGAAGAAAGAGUUUAUCCAGAAAGUGUGCCUAGGGCUUAUGAGGAGGCAAAGUGGUGAAUGAAGCCUCCCCUGAGAAACAAGUCCAACUGGCAGAGGCUUCCCAGCAUGGAGACAUCUGGAAAAAAGGAAAUGGUACUUUUGGAUCACAUGUGAAGGUUUAAAAAAAUACAGCUGCCCUGGCUUCCUGAAAUCUGGAAAGCUUUACAGCAUGAAAGAAGAAUGGUUUCAUUGGAUAAUAAUCCAUCUGCAAUAAGAGCAAAGUCCAUACUACUAUUAAAUGUGUUUAUCCACUGA